AGCGAACGCUGGCGGCAGGCCUAACACAUGCAAGUCGAACGAACCUUUCGGGGUUAGUGGCGGACGGGUGAGUAAUACGUGGGAACGUGCCUUUAGGUUCGGAAUAACUCAGGGAAACUUGUGCUAAUACCGAAUGUGCCCUUCGGGGGAAAGAUUUAUUGCCUUUAGAGCGGCCCGCGUCUGAUUAGCUAGUUGGUUGAGGUAAUGGCUCACCAAGGCGACGAUCAGUAGCUGGUCUGAGAGGAUGAUCAGCCACAUUGGGACUGAGACACGGCCCAAACUCCUACGGGAGGCAGCAGUGGGGAAUCUUGCGCAAUGGGCGAAAGCCUGACGCAGCCAUGCCGCGUGAAUGAUGAAGGUCUUAGGAUUGUAAAAUUCUUUCACCGGGGACGAUAAUGACGGUACCCGGAGAAGAAGCCCCGGCUAACUUCGUG
Molecule: ribosomal RNA, 434 nt
Filed under: uncultured bacterium
Lineage: Bacteria
Description: partial 16S ribosomal RNA
Rfam family: Bacterial small subunit ribosomal RNA
Source: RNAcentral